Long non-coding RNA from Cynoglossus semilaevis (tongue sole), 876 nucleotides. RefSeq lists it as uncharacterized. Lineage: Eukaryota; Metazoa; Chordata; Actinopteri; Pleuronectiformes; Cynoglossidae. The transcript has 2 exons. The record is from RefSeq and is a predicted model, not a curated record.
UAGCCUCGACCUGCUAACACGGCUAACCAGUUAGCGCCGUAGCUCACACAAACAAACUAACCCCAAUUUUUUUUAUUGUACACAUUCAAUGUAUUCUUCGUUUUAUUUAUUAUAUCGGUAAUUUUUUUAAAUUAUUCCUUCCACCUUCUCCCCAAUUUUUUAGCGGUAUAGGAACGCUCCUGAUGCCGAUGUUUUGUUACUAGCUAGCUCAAUUGCUAUUAGCAGUUCCCGGCGUUCGUUCACAAAGACUUCCCUUAAUGUUUUCAUGGUUAAUAUCGUUUCCUAAAAUCAUUAUGAGUGGACAAUGGAUAAAAUAUUUUAAAUAGUUAAAUGUUAGGUAGAUGAUAUUAGCAACCAAAAAUGCAAAAAACAGAAAAAUAUAUAAUAUCGUUUAAGAAAUUCACAAAUAAACUAAAACAAAAGCUAAAAUGUCACCUAAAACAAUUACAAAGUAACCAUAGCUAGCAUUAAAAAACCCAAUACAGCUCGAAUCUGGCAAAGCUUAAAAAAUAAUUUAUAAACACCUUCCCUUAAAUUAGCUUAAAUCAGCACAAAUAGCUCAGAAAUCCCUUAAAUCUAUCGCAGCAUCAGUUCAGUUAAUAAACCUACGUUGUUAUAAUUGUUUCAUAGCUGACAAAUGUUAUUUUGUACUUAAAUCCUGUGGAGUGAACGGCCUCUGUCAUCAUUGGUAUCUAGAUGAUGUGACACAAAUUAUUAGUUCAAAUAUAACAACAAUGAUAAAAAAAGAAACUUGAAGUUACUAAAGCAGGAUUGUUAGCUACACGUCUGGACAAUGCCACCUUUUCAUGACUCCUCACAGCUCCUCCUCAACAGGAAUCUGGACACUGUACUCCAGAAUGAACACCUCAAUAUGUA